This 237-nucleotide long non-coding RNA is filed under the name Elaeis guineensis (African oil palm). Its description in RNAcentral is "long non-coding RNA (EGUI_LNC044209)". The record is from RNAcentral. Lineage: Eukaryota; Viridiplantae; Streptophyta; Magnoliopsida; Arecales; Arecaceae.
GCAUAAGAAUGAAAUAAAACUCCUUUUUAUUUCAACAUGUAAGGAUGUUGGGAUGAAGAGUCCUAGAGAUGUUGGACUCUUCCAUAGUUGUCUUACCUUCAUAAUUUUCACGCCCAAAAAUAAUAUGGGAUGCCCCAAAACUUAUUUUUCCACAUGAAAUUAGAUCCUAAUCUGAUUUCCCAUAGUGAGAAACCUUAUUUUGUCACAUAAAAUAAUAGAAUAAAAUAAGUGGGCGCA